GGAGGAGCCCUUGGCGGAGGCGGAGCCCUUGGCGGAGGCGGAGGCUUUGGUGGAGGUGCAGGCUUCGGCGGAGCUCAAAGCACUGGCUUCGUGGGCGGAGGAGGACACCGCGGCGGAGGUUUGGGUGCCGGCGGUCACCGCGGCGGAGGCUUUGGUACAGGCGGUCACCGCGGCGGAGGUGGCUCCUACGGGGGCGCGGGUGGACUCGGAGGAGGUCUGCUCGGCGGGGCAGGAGGAUUCGGCGGCGGCGCUUCGCUGGGUGGAACGGGAGCCUUGGGCCAUCAGUUCGGAGGCUUCGGAGGAGGCUCGGCCACGGGAUCCGCCGCCGGUAACGUCGUUUCGGGUCAGACGGCAGGCCCGGCUGGCACAACUUCAAUCACCAGCGUCGGCUCCAGCGCUAAGGGGUCGGCCUCGGGCGGCGGCAGCAGCUUCAACAAGGCACACGCCAAUAACGCCCAGCUCAGUGGCCUCCUGGGGCAGCUCUCGACCUCCAACACUGGAGCCGUCUCGCAUCAGAGCGGUGGGGGAGGCAAAUAUUGGUAGUUAACAGCUGGCAAUCACAACCAGCACCAGACAAGCGCUCGAUACUGCUAACCAGUAGCCGACCAAGAGCAAGAUCCAGCCGGCGGAGGGCGAGCUUGUCAAACGCGGGCUUUGAACACCAAUCCCUCCUUGGAAACGGCGCGCUUCGGCGCACGUUCGAACCUUCACCUCAUAUGACGACAACUCGCAUCAGCCUGCCGAGGAAUACACGAUGGAUGAGA
Pollicipes pollicipes is the source of this 764-nucleotide long non-coding RNA. RefSeq lists it as uncharacterized. The transcript has 2 exons. Lineage: Eukaryota; Metazoa; Arthropoda; Thecostraca; Pollicipedomorpha; Pollicipedidae. The record is from RefSeq and is a predicted model, not a curated record.